GACGAACGCUGGCGGCGUGCUUAACACAUGCAAGUCGAACGGAAAGGCCCUGCUUUUGUGGGGUGCUCGCGUGGCGAACGGGUGAGUAACCCGUGAGUAACCUGCCCUUUACUUUGGGCUACCUUCAGGAAACUCGCGCUAAUACCGGUUAGGAGCUCCUGCUGCAUGGUGUGGGUUGGAAAGUUUCGGCGGUUGGCGAUGGACUCGCGGCUUAUCAGCUUGUUGGUGGGGUAGUGGCUUACCAAGGCUUUGACGGGUAGCCGGCCUGAGAGGGUGACCGGCCACAUUGGGACUGAGAUACGGCCCAGACGCCUACGGGAGGCAGCAGUGGGGAAUAUUGCACAAUGGGCGGAAGCCUGAUGCAGCAACGCCGCGUGCGGGAUGACGGCCUUCGGGUUGUAAACCGCUUUCGCCUGUGACGAAGCGUGAGUGACGGUAAUGGGUAAAGAAGCACCGGCUAACUACGUG
This 468-nucleotide ribosomal RNA is filed under the name uncultured bacterium. RNAcentral describes it as "partial 16S ribosomal RNA". It matches the Rfam family "Bacterial small subunit ribosomal RNA", at positions 28 to 507 of the family's 1533-position model. The record is from RNAcentral.